RNAcentral lists this long non-coding RNA (461 nucleotides) under Phasianus colchicus (ring-necked pheasant). RNAcentral's name for it is "lncRNA (ENSPCLG00000017391.1)". Lineage: Eukaryota; Metazoa; Chordata; Aves; Galliformes; Phasianidae. The record is from RNAcentral.
UGGGUCAAUCUAUGGGGCUGACAUCCCUCUAUGGGUCAAUCUAUGGGUCUGAUCUCCAUCUAUGGGUCAAUCUAUGGGUCUGAUGUCCCUCUAUGGGUCUUUCUAUGGGUCAAUCUAUGGGUCCAUCUAUGGGUCCGAGGCCCCCCUAUGGGUCCCUCUAUGGGUCAAUCUAUGGGUCCAUCUAUGGGUCCGAGGCCCCCCUACAGGUCCCUCUAUGGGUCAAUCUCUGGGUCUGACGUCCCUCUAUGGGUCAAUCUAUGGGUCCGAUGUCCAUCUAUGGGUCCCUCUAUGGGUCUGACGUCCCUCUAUGGGUCAAUCUAUGGGUCUGAUCUCCAUCUAUGGGUCAAUCUAUGGGUCUGAUCUCCAUCUAUGGGUCAAUCUCUGGGCCUGAUGUCCCUCUAUGGGUCAAUCUAUGGGUCAAUCUAUGGGUCCGAGGCCCCCCUACGGGUCCCUCCAUGCCU